This 445-nucleotide ribosomal RNA is filed under the name uncultured bacterium. RNAcentral's name for it is "bacterial SSU rRNA". It matches the Rfam family "Bacterial small subunit ribosomal RNA", at positions 331 to 792 of the family's 1533-position model. The record is from RNAcentral.
CUAGACUCCUACGGGAGGCAGCAGUGGGGAAUAUUGCACAAUGGGGGAAACCCUGAUGCAGCGACGCCGCGUGAGCGAAGAAGUAUUUCGGUAUGUAAAGCCCUAUCGGCAGGGAAGAAAUUGGACGGUACCUGACUAAGAAGCCCCGGCUAACUACGUGCCAGCAGCCGCGGUAAUACGUAGGGGGCAAGCGUUAUCCGGAUUCACUGGGUGUAAAGGGAGCGUAGACGGCCAUGCAAGCCUGGAGUGAAAGCCCGGGGCCCAACCCCGGGACUGCUCUGGGAACUGUGCGGCUGGAGUGCGGGAGGGGCAGGCGGAAUUCCUGGUGUAGCGGUGAAAUGCGUAGAUAUCAGGAGGAACACCGGCGGCGAAGGCGGCCUGCUGGACCGCGACUGACGUUGAGGCUCGAAAGCGUGGGGAGCAAACAGGAUUAGAUACCCUGGUA